GACGAACGCUGGCGGCGUGCUUAACACAUGCAAGUCGAACGGAAAGGCCCUGCUUUCGUGGGGUGCUCGAGUGGCGAACGGGUGAGUAACACGUGAGUAACCUGCUCUAGACUUUGGGAUAACUUCAGGAAACUGGGGCUAAUACCGGAUAGGAGCUCCUGUUGCAUGGUGGGGGUUGGAAAGUUUCGGCGGUUGGGGAUGGACUAGCGGCUUAUCAGCUUGUUGGUGGGGUAGUGGCUUACCAAGGCAUAGACGGGUAGGCGGCCUGAGAGGGUGACCGGCCACAUUGGGACUGAGAUACGGCCCAGACUCCUACGGGAGGCAGAAGUGGGGAAUAUUGCACAAUGGGCGGAAGCCUGAUGCAGCAACGCCGCGUGCGGGAUGACGGCCUUCGGGUUGUAAACCGCUUUCGCCUGUGACGAAGCGUGAGUGACGGUAAUGGGUAAAGAAGCACCGGCUAACUACGUG
This 468-nucleotide ribosomal RNA is filed under the name uncultured bacterium. Its description in RNAcentral is "partial 16S ribosomal RNA". It matches the Rfam family "Bacterial small subunit ribosomal RNA", at positions 28 to 507 of the family's 1533-position model. The record is from RNAcentral.